This 956-nucleotide ribosomal RNA is filed under the name Rhizonema sp. 'cyanobiont of Dictyonema sp.'. RNAcentral's name for it is "bacterial SSU rRNA". It matches the Rfam family "Bacterial small subunit ribosomal RNA", at positions 28 to 1029 of the family's 1533-position model. Lineage: Bacteria; Bacillati; Cyanobacteriota; Cyanophyceae; Nostocales; Rhizonemataceae. The record is from RNAcentral.
GAUGAACGCUGGCGGUAUGCUUAACACAUGCAAGUCGAACGGUCUCUUCGGAGAUAGUGGCGGACGGGUGAGUAACGCGUGAGAAUCUGGCUCUAGGUCUGGGACAACCACUGGAAACGGUGGCUAAUACCGGGUGUGCCGAAAGGUGAAAGGUUAACUGCCUGGAGAUGAGCUCGCGUCUGAUUAGCUAGUUGGUAGGGUAAAGGCUUACCAAGGCGACGAUCAGUAGCUGGUCUGAGAGGACGAUCAGCCACACUGGGACUGAGACACGGCCCAGACUCCUACGGGAGGCAGCAGUGGGGAAUUUUCCGCAAUGGGCGAAAGCCUGACGGAGCAAUACCGCGUGAGGGAGGAAGGCUCUUGGGUUGUAAACCUCUUUUCUCAGGGAAGAAGAAUGACGGUACUUGAGGAAUAAGCAUCGGCUAACUCCGUGCCAGCAGCCGCGGUAAUACGGAGGAUGCAAGCGUUAUCCGGAAUGAUUGGGCGUAAAGCGUUCGCAGGUGGCAUUGAAAGUCUGCUGUCAAAGAGUCUGGCUCAACCAGAUACAGGCAGUGGAAACUUCAAAGCUAGAGUGCGGUAGGGGCAGAGGGAAUUCCUGGUGUAGCGGUGAAAUGCGUAGAGUUCAGGAAGAACACCGGUGGCGAAAGCGCUCUGCUAGACCGCAACUGACACUGAGGGACGAAAGCUAGGGGAGCGAAUGGGAUUAGAUACCCCAGUAGUCCUAGCCGUAAACGAUGGAUACUAGGCGUUGCUCGUAUCGACCCGAGCAGUGCCGUAGCUAACGCGUUAAGUAUCCCGCCUGGGGAGUACGCACGCAAGUGUGAAACUCAAAGGAAUUGACGGGGGCCCGCACAAGCGGUGGAGUAUGUGGUUUAAUUCGAUGCAACGCGAAGAACCUUACCAAGACUUGACAUGUCCGGAACCCUCUUGAGAGGGAGGAGUGCCUUCGGGAGCCG